AAGCCACCAGGAGAUUCGAACUCGCGACCCUGGUUUACGAGACCAGUGCUUACCUCUGAGCUAUGUGGCG
Molecule: non-coding RNA, 70 nt
Organism: Araneus ventricosus
Lineage: Eukaryota; Metazoa; Arthropoda; Arachnida; Araneae; Araneidae
Source: the annotation of a GenBank genome assembly